Molecule: long non-coding RNA, 302 nt
Filed under: Panax ginseng (ginseng)
Lineage: Eukaryota; Viridiplantae; Streptophyta; Magnoliopsida; Apiales; Araliaceae
Description: long non-coding RNA (PGIN_LNC004957)
Source: RNAcentral
CGGCUCUUUCCCCUCUCGCCGUGGCAUCUCCUUAUGCUUACUCCGUCUUUCGGACAACAUGGCUAGAUGCUUCUUCCCUUAACUCCGCCACCCGAAGCAUCUGCUCGGUUAUAUCUUCCCUCUGCUUUAACAGGACCUCCAAGGCUUUAUCUGCUUCGUCUGCCAUCUUCGCCAACUUGGCAGCUAUGUCUUCCUGACCACUUCAGCGAUGAGUCCUAGUCGGUGAGCCCUCUGCUCGCCCCCGACCACGAUCAUGCCCUUUAUCAGCAUCAAAGACCAACCUCCGUCUGGCUCCACCGUGG